UAUAGCUUCUUCGAACGUGCCCGCAAAAAAUUCCGGAUGCGCUGGUCCAUAUCUUUUUUGAAACUGUUCUGCAAAAUGCAGUGUGCCUAUGGUUUCAUCUUCCACAUUAUCUGGCACUAAAAGAAUCGAGAAUUUUAUUAGAUUGAACAUUCUCUAUGAAGAUAUCAUCCUCUACGUCAAAGGACUCUGAGGCGUCUUCAAACUCUUCUGGGGAACUGUCGCUGUCUAUUAAAUCUACGUAAACCUUAGAAAGUGAAUACAAAGCAAAUUAUUGGAACGACCAACUGGUAGAAAAAACAGACACGACUUCUAUGAUGGUAACCAGCAUCACCUUCUUGUUUUCCUUGUUAGGCAACUUUCCAACAGUCAAGUCAUGUUCUGGGUAAGUGAUACCGCUUUGUGCCAACAUUGUUUCAUCAUUCUUCAACUUUGAUGGCCAUCCAGUCCAAUGCUGAUUUCGUACAGGUAUAUCUAUUAGCGUAAAAACGUCGGUUUUCACUUCUAAAACUGUACGGGUUCCUGGGAAUU
Long non-coding RNA from Athalia rosae (coleseed sawfly), 528 nucleotides. RefSeq lists it as uncharacterized. The record is from RefSeq and is a predicted model, not a curated record. NCBI's taxonomy places the organism in Eukaryota, Metazoa, Arthropoda, Insecta, Hymenoptera, Athaliidae. The transcript has 2 exons.